RNAcentral lists this transfer RNA (73 nucleotides) under Synechococcus phage S-PM2. It matches the Rfam family "tRNA". From Rfam's summary of the family: Transfer RNA (tRNA) molecules are approximately 80 nucleotides in length. Their secondary structure includes four short double-helical elements and three loops (D, anti-codon, and T loops). Lineage: Duplodnaviria; Heunggongvirae; Uroviricota; Caudoviricetes; Pantevenvirales; Kyanoviridae. The record is from Rfam by way of RNAcentral. RNAcentral also lists the same sequence under 1 other name.
GGAAACAUAGCUUAGUUGGUAAAGCAUUCGACUGAUAAUCGAAAGACCACUGGUUCGAGUCCAGUUGUUUCCA